AUCCCUUGGCAUUCAAAAGCGCCGAAAGAAAGAAACCUAACAGCGCCAUAGCGUUCUCUAAGCUAUCGUGCGAGGUCCCUCGACCUCCGCACAACCCCAGCACCAAGGGGCUGUGCCUGUCGUCGUCUUCCACGCCCAUGUCGGAACCCGACACCCAGGCGCCGCCGCCUCCGUUCCUGCUCCAGCGCCCGCCGCUUCUGCAGUCGGCGUCGCCGCUCUUCAAGCAGCGGUCGUGGUCGCCGGACGCCUUCCGCGACGAGGCGUGGCUCCGCCGCAAGGGGAACUGGAAGAACCGCCGCAGUAAGAGCGUCACCGAUGAGGACGUGGACGAGCUCAAGGCCUGCAUCGAGUUAGGCUUUGGAUUCGAUUCCUCCCCCGAGGUCGAGCUCGAUCAACGCCUCUCCGAUACUCUACCCGCUCUCGGCCUCUACUACGCCGUCAACAAACGCUACAACGACUCCCUUGUCACCAAAACCACGCCGUCCUCCUCCUCCUCCUCCGCCGCCUCCGAUUGCGACAGCACUCCUUGCCCCCACGGCAGUCCCCACUCCGCCAUCUUCACCACCGGUGAUAACCCUCAGACGGUGAAGACGAGGCUGAGGCAGUGGGCUCAGGUAGUUGCUUGUGCGGUGCGACAAAGUUCAGAUGUGUGAUGAUAAUAAUUACCGAAUGGAGAAGCAGGGUUGUAAAACCUAAACCAUACAGUAGAAGCAAUGUGUGAUGAUUGAUAUUAUAAAUGACAACGAUUUCCCACCGAACCAGACCAAACCAAACCGAGAGUGAACCCUAGUUAACCACCCAAUCGUGGCGGAACCAAAGUAGUUAGUUAGCUAUAUUACAUUACAAUUACAUGUGGGGCUGUCGGCAGCGCCUUGUUUUGUACUGUACUUGUCCAAUAUGUGAUGACUAAGCCAAGGAAGAAAAAAAAAGUCAAAAGGUGUUCUACUGCAUUUGAAUCCAGUGCUGGUUGUGCUGCUUCUUUUCUCUUUCCUCUUGGUCUUGCUCGGUUGCUAGUACUUUAUUGAAAAACAAGGAACAAGAGAGAAGUGAAGUGAAGAAUAUAACAUUCUUGUAACUCUGACAAAGAGAUUUGACUUGCACGAGGAAUACAGCUUGCUUUCUAGCUAACAUGGGCUGGCUGGGUACGAGUACGACUCAACUUGUGUGUCUUUCGUGAAAGGCAAGACACUGAAGCUUCAAAUUUCAACAUUCUCCUGUUCGUGUCAUCGAUUGGGAAUAUUGCGGUGCUGGCAAUGCUAACUUUGUGUUUCUGACUCAUUGUACUUAAUUAAUUUCUAGCUAGCCACUCUGUCAUGACUUUGUUUUCCUUUUCCACCGAUUUUCCAGCGGCUGGGAGCUUAAUAUUUGCGGGAAUGGAAUGGAACAUCUCUGGCGUGUUGACUUUUCACGCGGAGGCUGGCGUCAAGUCAAAUUACUGCUAACAAAACGUAUAUUACAGUGUUAAUAAACACCAAUGUUAGGGGAACUCUGCCAUGAAAAAUAGAAGGUUAAGAUGAAGGAAUGUGGUGAGUUUGGGUGAUAAAAAAAUAAAGAGAUAAAUGAUAACUUAAUUACAGAAGUGGCGUGAUAUAAAAGAAAGAGAAAAAUAAUACUAUAAAACUCAGAUGAAAGAAAAAACGAGUAGAUGAACGAAAUAAUAUGUAGUUGAAAUCCCUUAUAUAUAUGACUAUGGCCUUGAUUAUAA
Glycine soja is the source of this 1705-nucleotide RNA transcript. RefSeq lists it as uncharacterized. Lineage: Eukaryota; Viridiplantae; Streptophyta; Magnoliopsida; Fabales; Fabaceae. The transcript is spliced from 3 exons. The record is from RefSeq and is a predicted model, not a curated record.